RNAcentral lists this ribosomal RNA (274 nucleotides) under uncultured bacterium. Its description in RNAcentral is "partial 16S ribosomal RNA". It matches the Rfam family "Bacterial small subunit ribosomal RNA", at positions 523 to 796 of the family's 1533-position model. The record is from RNAcentral.
AUACGGAGGGUGCAAGCGUUAAUCGGAAUCACUGGGCGUAAAGCGCGCGCAGGCGGUCUUUUAAGUUGGAUGUGAAAGCCUACGGCUCAACCGUAGAACUGCAUCCAAAACUAUUAGACUAGAGUGUGGGAGAGGAAGAUGGAAUUAGUUGUGUAGGGGUAAAAUCCGUAGAGAUAACUAGGAAUACCAAAAGCGAAGGCAAUCUUCUGGAACACUUCUGACGCUGAGGCGCGAAAGCGUGGGGAGCAAACAGGAUUAGAAACCCCUGUAGUCC